Molecule: ribosomal RNA, 449 nt
Filed under: uncultured bacterium
Lineage: Bacteria
Description: bacterial SSU rRNA
Rfam family: Bacterial small subunit ribosomal RNA
Source: RNAcentral
GUGGGGAAUCUUGCGCAAUGGGCGAAAGCCUGACGCAGCGACGCCGCGUGGGUGAUGAAGGCCUUCGGGUUGUAAAGCCCUGUGGGGAGGGACGAAUAACGAUUGGCCAAUAUCCAAUCGGAUGACGGUACCUCCUUAGCAAGCACCGGCUAACUCUGUGCCAGCAGCCGCGGUAAGACAGAGGGUGCAAACGUUGUUCGGAAUUACUGGGCGUAAAGCGCGUGUAGGCGGCAAGGCAAGUCGGAUGUGAAAGCCCUGGGCUCAACCCAGGAAGUGCAUUCGAUACUGCCGAGCUGGAGUCCCGGAGAGGAUGGUGGAACUCUCGGUGUAGAGGUGAAAUUCGUAGAUAUCGAGAAGAACACCGGUGGCGAAGGCGGCCAUCUGGACGGUGACUGACGCUGAGACGCGAAAGCGUGGGGAGCAAACAGGAUUAGAAACCCGUGUAGUCC